UGGGGAAUUUUGGACAAUGGGCGAAAGCCUGAUCCAGCAAUGCCGCGUGUGUGAAGAAGGCCUUCGGGUUGUAAAGCACUUUUGUCCGGAAAGAAAUCCUUGGCUCUAAUACAGUCGGGGGAUGACGGUACCGGAAGAAUAAGCACCGGCUAACUACGUGCCAGCAGCCGCGGUAAUACGUAGGGUGCAAGCGUUAAUCGGAAUUACUGGGCGUAAAGCGUGCGCAGGCGGUUUGCUAAGACCGAUGUGAAAUCCCCGGGCUCAACCUGGGAACUGCAUUGGUGACUGGCAGGCUAGAGUAUGGCAGAGGGGGGUAGAAUUCCACGUGUAGCAGUGAAAUGCGUAGGGAUGUGGAGGAAUACCGAUGGCGAAGGCAGCCCCCUGGGCCAAUACUGACGCUCAUGCACGAAAGCGUGGGGAGCAAACAGGAUUAGAUACCCUGGUAGUCCACGCCCUAAAACGAUGUCAACUAGUUGUUGGGGAUUCAUUUCCUUAGUAACGUAGCUAACGCGUGAAGUUGACCGCCUGGGGAGUACGGUCGCAAGAUUAAAACUCAAAUGAAUUGACGGGGUCAUAGCUGUUUCC
This 585-nucleotide ribosomal RNA is filed under the name uncultured bacterium. Its description in RNAcentral is "partial 16S ribosomal RNA". It matches the Rfam family "Bacterial small subunit ribosomal RNA", at positions 355 to 937 of the family's 1533-position model. The record is from RNAcentral.